UGUAAGGCUGUGGUUCUCUCCAGCCCACAUGACAACUGUAUGUGCCACAGUCAGCACAUGGACAUGAAGGCAGAUGGAGACCUUACAGAGAACCUCAACAUCACUUCCUGAGACUGCCUGAAGCAAAGUAAUUUGAGGAUGUCUCAAGACCAUGGGAGCCAGGAUCUCUUGAGCUCUGCAAACUGCAGGUCUCUCCCAGCACAGGUGCUUUGCAGAUUUACUCUAUGAGCUGCAAUCAGAUGCUGACAAACAUCUGCGGGGUCCAGGAAUCAUUUCCCUGAAGCUCUCACACCUGGUUUCUCCUCAGCACUCACCACGAACCCAUACUUCAAGGAAGGAAGAUCACGCUUUGACAAAACAGCCAAUGCAUUUUGAUCAUAGUCAUUCCAAACGUUUUGCCCCAGGAGGAAGCCCAACAUGGAAAAUAUCAACCCAAACAGUUAAAGUCUGUGAAGAUUAAAAACAAAUGUAAAAAAAAAAUCUUGUUCACUGUAGUUUAUAAAUGAGACCUUUCAGGCAAUCCUGAUUCUCUGCCCUACCUAGAAUACACUUGCACACCCUGUUCUACACGGCAUUCUGCUUGCUGUGCAACUUAUUUUAAUCCU
Molecule: long non-coding RNA, 605 nt
Organism: Pezoporus occidentalis (night parrot)
Lineage: Eukaryota; Metazoa; Chordata; Aves; Psittaciformes; Psittacidae
Exons: 3
Source: RefSeq, a predicted model, not a curated record